Selaginella moellendorffii is the source of this 675-nucleotide long non-coding RNA. RefSeq lists it as uncharacterized. NCBI's taxonomy places the organism in Eukaryota, Viridiplantae, Streptophyta, Lycopodiopsida, Selaginellales, Selaginellaceae. The transcript has 4 exons. The record is from RefSeq and is a predicted model, not a curated record.
GCUUCGACAGGCAUAUGCAUGAACAGAGGUUUUGACGCAUUGGCACUUGAAGAAUGAUUACGCUGAUGAUCCAACUUCUUAGGAAGCUGCAAUUCACCGGUUGGAGCUUGCCAACGAGGUACCCGCAUUCCUUUUCAUUUGAUCUAUGCAAGUUUAAAUGCCAUUCUUCAAGAAUUAUUCAAGCUUUUCAAAGGUUAUGUUCGCUCCUGACCAUCGUGUAUAAUUUUUACUCGAAUUUUGUCGACCGACGAAGCUUUCACUCUCAGGUGGCCAUCUUGCGGAUUGAUGGAGCAAGCAAUGCAGCAGCCGUCUCCUUCCAUCUGUCUAUCAAAGCGAUCGAAAGACUUUCGCUACGUGUAAAACGACGGCACAGGAAGAGUAAGCUUAAGUUCUUAGUGGUGAAGCUUCUCUUUUUUCACGGUCGGUGACCACUAUUGCAAAGGAAAUCCUGAGAGCAAAGGAGAAGGGCAAUGCAAUGCAAGAGAAAAGCCGAAAAGCUCUUCAAGCAAAGGAUCCACGACUUCUCUUCAAGCGUCUCUCUCUCUCUCUUUUCGGUGAGUGUUCCUUUUGGUGGGUAUCACUGUCGUCGUUCAUGAUAAACAAACGCAGGAAGGAACUUUUGCUACUCAAAACAAUGAGAACAUAGCGAAGGUUAAUGGAAUGGAAAGAUUUGUA